UUCCACAUGUCAGCAAACCGAGAACCCAAGAGAGCUGGGAAAUGACAACAAGUGCACUAUAAUUCACAAGAGGAACAGGGGUUCUUAAAUCACACCGGAGGUUCACAGGAACAGCUCGAAUAUGGAUCUGAAACCGUUGUAUGGUUUGAUGUGAAAACAUUUGAAAUCUCCGGCUCCAGCACCAGCUUCGUGUUUGCAACCGCUCAGUAGAUGCAUGAAGCUGAAUCAGGAUGUGGUUUUGUUACAGCAUUGUGGGUCGCCUCUGAAGGGAUCACUGAGUCGAGCAGCUUUCUUCUCCUCUUCUGUUCAGGGAGGAUGAACGGAGAAUUUCUAAAUGCAAGAGAAAUGUGGGACACCAACAUCUCCAGAGACAGAAGGAGAGGAGUAGCAGGGAGCUGCCGAGCGACGACAGGAGAUGGAGCUGUGCCGGGCAGAGUUAGCAGAGACGUUCCACAGGCAACUUCUCUCCCUUAUGAGCCAGCAGGUUUUGUCCAGGAAGCUGGGACAUCCUGCACCACAGCUCUGGGCAUAACAUCUGCUGUUUGAUCAUUUUGUCAUUUUUUUAAUCAACUCAAUAUUGUUCUGACCGAGAGUUUGAUUUUGCUGAAUUGAAAGUUCCUUUUUUAAAUUUAUAAAACGGUCACAUAGGAACUUAGCUCGAUAACUGCAUCCAACCCCAAGGCUUCCCCUUUGCUCUUCGAAAGAACUAAGCAAGUUAUUUAUAAACUGCAUUUCCUGUUCACAGCUAGAGAACGAUUUAAAUAUUAGAGACAGCCAGGGACAGAAUUCACUCUCGAUUAGCGAUGGUUUCAAAUCAGCCGCACUGUGUGAGUAAAUGACAAUGAGCAUUAUUAGAUGAGGGCCUCUUCACAUGCACCACUGCUGCAGGGAAUUUUGGAGACAGCCUUUAAUUUCACCCGCAUAUGGCAAAUGUGUUCAGUUCCCCUUUCUAACCCUGUAACAGAUACAAUAUUCUGGCUGCCUGGUGCUUAAACAGUUGUGUUUUUAUUUAAACACUCUCUGGGGUGUUUAUUAUAGUUGACCUUUUACCUAGACUUAGACUUUUUCCAUGUUUCAUAUAAAGUUAUCACAUGAGGGAGAGUACCUGGGAUUCUUGUAAAAAUUCUGUUUAGUUAUUCUGAUAAUGAAAUAAUGUCAUACAUUUGAUAUCUAUUUAUUGCCAAGAAACAAGAAACAACAAGGAGAUCAUAAUAUAACGCAACAAGUGUAUUGAAAUGAGCAAAACUAUGCCUCCUUGGCAAUACCCUCAUGUGAAGUUGGAGCUACAUGCUCUCAAGGGCCCCUCCCUGACUCAGCUCUUAGGGCGAUUCAACAUUUCCUGUUUACAAGCCAAUGGGGAACACACAUUACAAACCCCUUAUCGCACUAUGAGCACUGAGAGCACUGCUGCUGCCCGACACCAGACUGCUCCCUAAGGAGAGCCCCAUCAGCUGAGGAAAUGUGAUACUCUGCGUCCAGCCUGGUCAACCAUGCUCAAACCUGGUGAGCCCACACGGAGACAAACGCCUGACAUUUUGACCUCUUCAUUAACCUUCAGUCAGGAGGAGUUCCGAAAGAAAAUGUGACCAUAUGAAUCCAGCUUUCAAUAUUUGUUCAGUAUUUGAUGUGAGUCCAUAGACUGUAAGAUGGACAACACUCCACUUCCUCUCACUAUCCAGAAAUGAAGUUACAGAUAGGAACUCUGCCAUCUAGCACAAGAGGAAGAGUCUGCGCAGAAGCGAUAUGGGGAUGAAUCCAUUGUAGCAUGGUCCAAUAAUAAGAACUUCAAAAUUUCAAAAGAUAAUUUUUUGUUUGGUCCAUGAACCGUCUAUGAACAAGGAGGAGGCAGGAUUUAUGACCUAUUCUGCAGUCUGAAGUCAAAUUAUCAUGUUGAAGAUUUAUCCCACAAUAAGAUGCUGUGUUUCUUUUUUGGACUUUACUACAGUCAUAGCAUGAAACCAAACAUUAUUAGAUAUAUGAGGACUUUCUUUUUACAUUUCUGUUUGUGUACAGAUAUGGAUGGCUGUUAAUUAAAGAAG
This is a long non-coding RNA of Limanda limanda (common dab), 2039 nucleotides long. RefSeq lists it as uncharacterized. The transcript has 3 exons. The record is from RefSeq and is a predicted model, not a curated record. NCBI's taxonomy places the organism in Eukaryota, Metazoa, Chordata, Actinopteri, Pleuronectiformes, Pleuronectidae.